Molecule: ribosomal RNA, 425 nt
Filed under: uncultured bacterium
Lineage: Bacteria
Description: bacterial SSU rRNA
Rfam family: Bacterial small subunit ribosomal RNA
Source: RNAcentral
GAAUUUUGGACAAUGGGGGCAACCCUGAUCCAGCAAUGCCGCGUGAGUGAAGAAGGCCUUCGGGUUGUAAAGCUCUUUCGGUGGGAACGAAAUGGGGCGGGUGAACAACGCGCCUCGAUGACGGUACUCACAGAAGAGGCACCGGCUAACUACGUGCCAGCCGCCGCGGUAAUACGUAGGGUGCGAGCGUUAAUCGGAAUUACUGGGCGUAAAGCGUGCGCAGGCGGCGCGCUAAGACAGGUGUGAAAUCCCCGGGCUUAACCUGGGAAUGGCGCUUGUGACUGGCGUGCUCGAGUGCGGCAGAGGGAGGUGGAAUUCCACGUGUAGCAGUGAAAUGCGUAGAGAUGUGGAGGAACACCGAUGGCGAAGGCAGCCUCCUGGGCCGACACUGACGCUGAGGCACGAAAGCGUGGGGAGCAAACAGG